Molecule: unclassified non-coding RNA, 307 nt
Filed under: plant metagenome
Description: partial contains 5.8S ribosomal RNA, internal transcribed spacer 2, and large subunit ribosomal RNA
Rfam family: 5.8S ribosomal RNA (bases 1-105)
Source: RNAcentral
GAAAUGCGAUAAGUAAUGUGAAUUGCAGAAUUCAGUGAAUCAUCGAAUCUUUGAACGCACAUUGCGCCCGCCAGCACUCUGGCGGGCAUGCCUGUUCGAGCGUCAUUUCAACCCUCAGAACCCCUUGCGGGAUCUGGCGUUGGGGAUUGGCAUCCAGCCAGCCCCGAAAUCUAGUGGCGGUCCCUCCGCGACCUCCCCUGUGCAGUAGCGAUACCUCGCAGCGGGACAGCGGUCUGACCACGCCGUAAAACCCCCAACUUCUCAAGGUUGACCUCGAAUCAGGUAGGAAUCCCCGCUGAACUUAAGC